GCAAGGCUGAAGAUGCUUGGGCUAAGAGUAUUGCUGGCCAUGCUACUGGAAAGGUUAUUGUGGAGCCCUAGAUAAAUAUAUUGUUCUUAAAUUGUUAAAAGGUUACUACUAUACAGGUUGCGUAUGUGGGCCAAACAUGGAUUGUACAUUAGAGUAAGCAUGCUUCUGACGCUAUAUGUUUGUGUCUUGCUUUGUAUUUAUAUCUUCACGCUUUUGUGAACGGUUGAGAUUGGUUUAUCUAGGGCUCCACAAUAACCUUUCC
RNAcentral lists this unclassified non-coding RNA (262 nucleotides) under Hevea brasiliensis (rubber tree). Lineage: Eukaryota; Viridiplantae; Streptophyta; Magnoliopsida; Malpighiales; Euphorbiaceae. The record is from RNAcentral.